UACGGAGGAUCCAAGCGUUAUCCGGAUUCAUUGGGUUUAAAGGGUGCGUAGGCGGCUUAUUAAGUCAGCGGUGAAAUCCUGGAGCUUAACUCCAGAACUGCCAUUGAUACUGAUGAGCUUGAGUACACUUGAAGUGGGCGGAAUGUGUCGUGUAGCGGUGAAAUGCUUAGAUAUGACACAGAACACCGAUUGCGAAGGCAGCUCACUAAAUUGUCAUUGACGCUGAGGCACGAAAGCGUGGGGAUCAAACAGG
This 253-nucleotide ribosomal RNA is filed under the name uncultured bacterium. RNAcentral describes it as "partial 16S ribosomal RNA". It matches the Rfam family "Bacterial small subunit ribosomal RNA", at positions 524 to 776 of the family's 1533-position model. The record is from RNAcentral.